RNAcentral lists this long non-coding RNA (411 nucleotides) under Mus spicilegus (steppe mouse). RNAcentral describes it as "lncRNA (ENSMSIG00000005886.1)". Lineage: Eukaryota; Metazoa; Chordata; Mammalia; Rodentia; Muridae. The record is from RNAcentral.
AAAUAAAUAGGAAAGAAAAGUGUGUGUGUGUGUAACGUCUGCCCAUGUUUCCUUCCUAGGAACCUCGGACAACAUACUGUCAAGUGAGAAACAGACAACAGACAACUUCAACUCUCACACAUGAGCACACAUUUUUACUUGCUCACCAAACGUAUUGAUCACUCUGCCAAACAGGUAAGCUGCUCCUUCCUUGAGGUGAGCAGAGUCCCUUGGACAGCAUCACUGGAGAGCUGUGAGCAUCCAUAAGGCCCUCCCAUCUUGGCAACAGAGGCAAGGGCUAGACACGCUACCCCCUCCUCUCGAGCGUGAACGGCUACCCUCGAAGUGUGUUGACCUGCCUCCUCCCUGGCCUCUUGAGGACCCUACCUCUUCUGAGAGCCACAGGCCAUUGCACAAUAAACCUUUAUCAAU